UAAUGAUGGAGGUGAACCGAAGUCCGGUCCAUGUUUAAUUUUAAGAAGUGCAAGUUCCAUAGUAGCUCUCGCAUCUUCAAUACUAUCGUGGCCAUUUCCAGAUUGUUGAAUCUCUCUGGAAAGAAAUCUUUUAGUAAGAAUCCGAAGCGCAGAUUUAUGAGAGCCGCCACGGGGAUGCUUAUAUAGUACUGCAGUAUCAAUCACCAGAUCAUGAGAGAUCUUCAAUGCCAUCAGGUCAUUCUCCAGUGAAUGGCCAACUAAAACAGUCUCCUUGUGAACCAGAUUUAAAAAAUCUCUCUGAGCAUCUUCCAGACUAGUGG
Molecule: unclassified non-coding RNA, 320 nt
Filed under: Hevea brasiliensis (rubber tree)
Lineage: Eukaryota; Viridiplantae; Streptophyta; Magnoliopsida; Malpighiales; Euphorbiaceae
Source: RNAcentral